Pelobates cultripes (western spadefoot toad) is the source of this 124-nucleotide non-coding RNA. The record is from the annotation of a GenBank genome assembly. Lineage: Eukaryota; Metazoa; Chordata; Amphibia; Anura; Pelobatidae.
GGGAACACAUGGGAUAGGCGGCAGCAUUGUAACAAGGCUGUGUGAUAUAAAGGACUUCUCUUUUUGUAUUUACUUUGUAUCACACAGCCUUGUUACAAUGCUUGUUACAAUCCCAUGUGUUCCC